Molecule: ribosomal RNA, 637 nt
Filed under: uncultured bacterium
Lineage: Bacteria
Description: bacterial SSU rRNA
Rfam family: Bacterial small subunit ribosomal RNA
Source: RNAcentral
GCUUAACCGAAGAAGUGCAUCGGAAACUGGGUGACUUGAGUGCAGAAGAGGACAGUGGAACUCCAUGUGUAGCGGUGGAAUGCGUAGAUAUAUGGAAGAACACCAGUGGCGAAGGCGGCUGUCUGGUCUGCAACUGACGCUGAGGCUCGAAAGCAUGGGUAGCGAACAGGAUUAGAUACCCUGGUAGUCCAUGCCGUAAACGAUGAGUGCUAGGUGUUGGAGGGUUUCCGCCCUUCAGUGCCGGAGCUAACGCAUUAAGCACUCCGCCUGGGGAGUACGACCGCAAGGUUGAAACUCAAAGGAAUUGACGGGGGCCCGCACAAGCGGUGGAGCACGUGGUUUAAUUCGAAGCUACGCGAAGAACCUUACCAGGUCUUGACAUCUUGCGCUAACCUAAGAGAUUAGGCGUUCCCUUCGGGGACGCAAUGACAGGUGGUGCAUGGUCGUCGUCAGCUCGUGUCGUGAGAUGUUGGGUUAAGUCCCGCAACGAGCGCAACCCUUGUUACUAGUUGCCAGCAUUCAGUUGGGCACUCUAGUGAGACUGCCGGUGACAAACCGGAGGAAGGUGGGGACGACGUCAGAUCAUCAUGCCCCUUAUGACCUGGGCUACACACGUGCUACAAUGGUCGGUACAACG